UGCAAGUCGAGCGGGGUUUUCGGACCUAGCGGCGGACGGGUGAGUAAUGCGUAGGAAGCUACCCGAUAGAGGGGGAUACCAGUUGGAAACGACUGUUAAUACCGCAUAAUGUCUACGGACCAAAGUGUGGGACCUUCGGGCCACAUGCUAUCGGAUGCGCCUACGUGGGAUUAGCUAGUUGGUGAGGUAAUGGCUCACCAAGGCGACGAUCUCUAGCUGGUUUGAGAGGAUGAUCAGCCACACUGGAACUGAGACACGGUCCAGACUCCUACGGGAGGCAGCAGUGGGGAAUAUUGGGCAAUGGGCGCAAGCCUGAUCCAGCCAUGCCGCGUGUGUGAAGAAGGCCUUAGGGUUGUAAAGCACUUUCAGCGAGGAGGAAGGGAGUUGUGUUAAUAGCACGGCUUUUUGACGUUACUCGCAGAAGAAGCACCGGCUAACUCUGUGCCAGCAGCCGCGGUAAUACAGAGGGUGCAAGCGUUAAUCGGAAUUACUGGGCGUAAAGCGCACGCAGGCGGUUGGUUAAGUCAGAUGUGAAAGCCCCGGGCUCAACCUGGGAAUUGCAUUUGAAACUGGCCAACUAGAGUAUGUGAGAGGGGGGUAGAAUUCCAAGUGUAGCGGUGAAAUGCGUAGAGAUUUGGAGGAAUACCAGUGGCGAAGGCGGCCCCCUGGCACAAUACUGACGCUCAGGUGCGAAAGCGUGGGGAGCAAACAGGAUUAGAUACCCUGGUAGUCCACGCCGUAAACGAUGUCUACUAGCUGUUCGUGGUCUUGUACUGUGAGUAGCGCAGCUAACGCACUAAGUAGACCGCCUGGGGAGUACGGUCGCAAGAUUAAAACUCAAAUGAAUUGACGGGGGCCCGCACAAGCGGUGGAGCAUGUGGUUUAAUUCGACGCAACGCGAAGAAUCUUACCUACUCUUGACAUCUACGGAAGUUUGC
RNAcentral lists this ribosomal RNA (938 nucleotides) under uncultured Chromatiaceae bacterium. Its description in RNAcentral is "bacterial SSU rRNA". It matches the Rfam family "Bacterial small subunit ribosomal RNA", at positions 56 to 1001 of the family's 1533-position model. Lineage: Bacteria; Pseudomonadati; Pseudomonadota; Gammaproteobacteria; Chromatiales; Chromatiaceae. The record is from RNAcentral.